UCGGUAAUUCCAGCUCCAAUAGCGUAUAUUUAAGUUGUUGCAGUUAAAAAGCUCGUAGUUGGAUUUUGGGUUGGGGCAGCCGGUCCGCCUCACGGUGUGCACCGGCUGACCCAUCCUUCUUGCCGGGGACGCGCUCCUGGCCUUGACUGGUCGGGACGUGGAGUCGGCGAUGUUACUUUGAAAAAAUUAGAGUGUUCAAAGCAGGCCUACGCUCUGAAUACAUUAACAUGGAAUAACGUGAUAGGACUCUGGUCCUAUUGUGUUGGUCUUCGGGACCGGAGUAAUGAUUAAUAGGGACAGUUGGGGAUAUUCGUAUUUCAUUGUCAGAGGUGAAAUUCUUGGAUUUAUGAAAGACGAACUUCUGCGAAAGCAUUUAUCAAGGAUGUUUUCAUUAAUCAAGAACGAAAGUUGGGGGCUCGAAGACGAUCAGAUACCGUCCUAGUCUCAACCAUAAACGAUGCCGACUAGGGAUUGGCGGAUGUUAAUUUGAUGACUCCGCCAGCACCUUAUGAGAAAUCAAAGUUUUUGGGUUCCGGGGGGAGUAUGGUCGCAAGGCUGAAACUUAAAGGAAUUGACGGAAGGGCACCACCAGGAGUGGAGCCUGCGGCUUAAUUUGACUCAACACGGGGAAACUUACCAGGUCCAGACAUAGUAAGGAUUGACAGAUUGAGAGCUCUUUCUUGAUUCUAUGGGUGGUGGUGCAUGGCCGCUCUUAGUUGGUGGAGUGAUUUGUCUGGUUAAUUCCAAUAACGAACGAGACCUUAACCUGCUAAAUAGUAACGCGAACUCUUGUUCGUGGCGACUUCUUAGAGGGACUAUCCGUUUUUAGCGGAAGGAAGUUUGAGGCAAUAACAGGUCUGUGAUGCCCUUAGAUGUUCUGGGCUGCACGCGCGCUACACUGAUGAAGUCAGCGAGUAUCAACCUUGGCCGAAAGGUCUGGGUAAUCUUUUGAAACUUCAUCGUGCUGGGGAUAGACCAUUGCAAUUAUUGGUCUUCAACGAGGAAUUCCUAGUAAUCGUGAGUCAUCAGCUCACGUUGAUUACGUCCCUGCCCUUUGUACACACCGCCCA
This 1070-nucleotide ribosomal RNA is filed under the name uncultured Microspora. Its description in RNAcentral is "SSU rRNA". It matches the Rfam family "Eukaryotic small subunit ribosomal RNA", at positions 576 to 1675 of the family's 1831-position model. The record is from RNAcentral. Lineage: Eukaryota; Viridiplantae; Chlorophyta; Chlorophyceae; Microsporaceae.